Molecule: ribosomal RNA, 402 nt
Filed under: uncultured bacterium
Lineage: Bacteria
Description: bacterial SSU rRNA
Rfam family: Bacterial small subunit ribosomal RNA
Source: RNAcentral
UGGGGAAUAUUGGACAAUGGGCGCAAGCCUGAUCCAGCCAUGCCGCGUGAGUGAUGAAGGCCCUAGGGUUGUAAAGCUCUUUUGUGCGGGAAGAUAAUGACUGUACCGCAAGAAUAAGCCCCGGCUAACUUCGUGCCAGCAGCCGCGGUAAUACGAAGGGGGCUAGCGUUGCUCGGAAUCACUGGGCGUAAAGGGUGCGUAGGCGGGUCUUUAAGUCAGGGGUGAAAUCCUGGAGCUCAACUCCAGAACUGCCUUUGAUACUGAGGAUCUUGAGUUCGGGAGAGGUGAGUGGAACUGCGAGUGUAGAGGUGAAAUUCGUAGAUAUUCGCAAGAACACCAGUGGCGAAGGCGGCUCACUGGCCCGAUACUGACGCUGAGGCACGAAAGCGUGGGGAGCAAACA